Molecule: small RNA, 139 nt
Filed under: Roseibium aggregatum
Lineage: Bacteria; Pseudomonadati; Pseudomonadota; Alphaproteobacteria; Hyphomicrobiales; Stappiaceae
Description: Labrenzia aggregata Alphaproteobacterial sRNA ar45
Rfam family: Alphaproteobacterial sRNA ar45
Source: Rfam by way of RNAcentral
GCCCAAAUUCGCACGUGCCCGUGGUCGUCCAUGGGAUGUUCAACAAGACAUCUCUUAAGGGGCCGCUGCCAGACAAUCCGCCAAGGGGCGGGGCAGUUGAGAUCCGGACGGCUUAAAGCAACGACGUAAGAGGGCUUUU